Long non-coding RNA from Trachemys scripta elegans, 1817 nucleotides. RefSeq lists it as uncharacterized. The record is from RefSeq and is a predicted model, not a curated record. The transcript has 2 exons. Lineage: Eukaryota; Metazoa; Chordata; Testudines; Emydidae.
AAGAGCUCACCACUUGAACAAAUUAUUUGUUACUAAUAAUUUAGCAAUGCUAAUUCAAGAUUUCUCAACUGCAUUAAUUUAAUAAAUUGGGUGUAUAGAUAUUUUAGCUUACAGGAAUUUACUUGAAUUCUAGGUCUUUUUAAAACAGCCUAAGUUACUACUACAUGCUGUUAUCCAGUAUGAUAGCUACAUUGAAGAGCAUCUGCUGUCCUGCUAAUUGGGGGAAUGUUGCAGAGAUGACUCUCUUCACAUUGUGCAAAGACUUCAUUACAUAUUGUGUGAUAGCGUAUCUUGAUACACAAAUGUACACACACAAUUGGCUCACUUAGCACUGCACACUUAACUGAUUUCUGUGUUAGACAAAUACUAUACAGUGAUGUACUUGCUGAGAAUAAUAGACUUAAAUACCAAAAGGCAGCCCAGAAAUAGAGGAAGGUGGAAGGAGGAAGUUAGUGAGAGUUAUAAGAAAAAUGAAUCAUAAAAUUAUUAUGUGCCUUUCUGUAAUGUACUGCAUUAAGGAAAAUAACCUCUUGCUGUACAAAAACAAAAUGUCAUUUUCAAAAUCAGUUUGAUGGAAAUGUGGGCAGGAGACAUUUGUGGAUUACAAUAGCCACUUCGUUUCACUAUGCAAGUAAUUCUCAGCCUCCAUAUUGUAGCUUAACUAAAAGGAGGCAUAGGUAUGUCCUUUUAUUGGCAAAGCCAAUUGACACUACUAUUGUGAAGUGUUAGCUGUUGAAUAUGUAAUUAUGUCUGACAGCCAUUCUUUUUAGUUUUUUUAAAUUUGUGUAGAUCUUUAUUGUUAAAUUUCUUUCAAUCAUCUUGAAAUGACUGUACUAGAAUGAUGCUUGUCAGAUUCCCAAUAUCAUUUUAUAAAUUGAAAUGUUUAAAUUAUUCUUUACCGCUAUCCAAAAAUGCAAUGGUUUAAUACGAUCAAAGUUCCAUUUUUAAGUGUGUAAUUGCUUUGACAUAUACAUCUGACAUUGCAUGGCUAGAAUCCUAAUUUAAUCUUUCGGGAUUUUUUUGCUUUGAUGGUCAGACUCCCAAAGUUAAGAAAAUUGUGGGAGUUACUGGAAAACUAGAGAGCUAACACACUAGUAGAGCUCAGCCUUACCCUCUUUGGUUUGCUUAAUUUUUAACAACUUUUUCAAAAUCCAACAAUUUACCUUAUGUAAAGGACUUGGUUAUAUCCAGGUUUUGAGACAAGAAGACUACCUCAAUGCAGAUGACUGAUUUCUUUGGGGAUUCACCUGAAGGCCCAGUCUGGACACUAACUGACUAUACCUAGGUGCCAUUCUCUCUUCUACGGUAUCUGGAUGAAACAGACAUUCAGCUUCCUGUGUCUGAGCUUAGAAUUGCACACAUAAUCAAAAGGUUGAAGGUCUGUGAAACUUGAUAGAAAAGGAAGGCUUUUCAAAACUGGCUUUUCGGUCCAUGGAAAAAUGCAUCUCCAUCUUGACUCAGACAUGAUGGACAGAGUGAGAGGGGCUUCAGUGAAGUGAUUAAGAUACUGGUGUUAAUGAGGUUGGCGAAGGGCCCUCCCAGUGAGUUGCUGAUUAAGUAAACAGUCCUUGGAACAACAAAAGCUUCUUUCCUUUGUUUAGAUAUUAUCAAGUUUUCCAUCCAGCAGGGAUGUGGCUAGCUGUGCAUUGUUAUGAAAUACAUUUAAAGUAGAACCUAUCUGUACUGCAGUUCCUCUCCAUUAAACCUUUUACAAUGUUUUUUUUUUUAAGUUUAACAUGAUUGUUUCUGCUGGUGUGGAUGGGGAAUUGUAUUUUUUUUAAUCUUCACUAUUAAGAGUAAAACUGUCUAAAGUGUGA